This 26-nucleotide small RNA is filed under the name Bombyx mori (domestic silkworm). RNAcentral describes it as "ovarian small RNA-32888". Lineage: Eukaryota; Metazoa; Arthropoda; Insecta; Lepidoptera; Bombycidae. The record is from RNAcentral.
UGAUGGUAUGUGCUGUCACCGAUGAG